Molecule: ribosomal RNA, 473 nt
Filed under: uncultured bacterium
Lineage: Bacteria
Description: bacterial SSU rRNA
Rfam family: Bacterial small subunit ribosomal RNA
Source: RNAcentral
ACUCCUACGGGAGGCAGCAGUGGGGAAUAUUGCACAAUGGGCGCAAGCCUGAUGCAGCCAUGCCGCGUGUGUGAAGAAGGCCUUCGGGUUGUAAAGCACUUUCAGUCGUGAGGAAGGUAAUGUAGUUAAUAGCUGCAUUAUUUGUACGUUAGCGACAGAAGAAGCACCGGCUAACUCCGUGCCAGCAGCCGCGGUAAUACGGAGGGUGCGAGCGUUAAUCGGAAUUACUGGGCGUAAAGCGCAUGCAGGUGGUUUGUUAAGUCAGAUGUGAAAGCCCGGGGCUCAACCUCGGAAUAGCAUUUGAAACUGGCAGACUAGAGUACUGUAGAGGGGGUUAGAAUUUCAGGUGUAGCGGUGAAAUGCGUAGAGAUCUGAAGGAAUACCGGUGGCGAAGGCGGCCCCUGGACAGAUACUGACACUCAGAUGCGAAAGCGUGGGAGCAAACAGGAUUAGAUACCCCUGGUAGGAUAGCG